Non-coding RNA from Triticum aestivum (bread wheat), 115 nucleotides. The record is from Rfam. NCBI's taxonomy places the organism in Eukaryota, Viridiplantae, Streptophyta, Magnoliopsida, Poales, Poaceae.
UAGGUACUCCCUCCGUUUCAAAUUACUCGUCGUAGAAAUGAAUGUAUCUAGAACUAAAAUACAUUUAGAAACAUCUAUAUCUGUGACAAGUAAUUCGAAACGGAGGGAGUACGUA